RNAcentral lists this ribosomal RNA (253 nucleotides) under uncultured bacterium. Its description in RNAcentral is "partial 16S ribosomal RNA". It matches the Rfam family "Bacterial small subunit ribosomal RNA", at positions 524 to 776 of the family's 1533-position model. The record is from RNAcentral.
UACGUAGGGGGCAAGCGUUGUCCGGAAUCAUUGGGCGUAAAGCGCGUGUAGGCGGCCCGGUAAGUCCGCUGUAAAAGUCCAGGGCUCAACCCUGGAAAGCCGGUGGAUACUGUCGGGCUCGAGUCCGGAAGAGGCGAGUGGAAUUCCUGGUGUAGCGGUGAAAUGCGCAGAUAUCAGGAGGAACACCGAUGGCGAAGGCAGCUCGCUGGGACGGUACUGACGCUGAGACGCGAAAGCGUGGGGAGCGAACGGG